Molecule: long non-coding RNA, 1376 nt
Filed under: Accipiter nisus (Eurasian sparrowhawk)
Lineage: Eukaryota; Metazoa; Chordata; Aves; Accipitriformes; Accipitridae
Description: lncRNA (ENSANIG00000005585.1)
Source: RNAcentral
CGUGGCUGUAGAGGCAGUCUCGUAGGAAGGAAAGAAAUUUGAGAGAGCGAUGCAAAAAAUAAGGAAGAAAAGCAGGGUUGAGUGACAAAACAGAUGCUUUGGAUCAUUUCGGCUGGGCGUGAUCACAUUUUUUGGUGCUCCCUGGUAUUUUAAGCAUGCUCUAGAGAGACGCUGUUGGUUUGAUAGUUUACAUGUUACAGCUCUGUAUCUCUGACCGGUGAGUAUAAAAAUAUUAAUUAGGCUCCUUGGGGUGUGUUUGUGGUCAGUUUGCCUUUCAGAGGGAAGGACUGCCGGGGCUGUACCUCACCCUCAUCCAGAAAAUUUGCCUCUGUUUAAAAGGCAUCAUUUUUCCCCAGUUUGGCUCUAGGCGGGAGAGCAGAGAGGCUGCAGGUGACUGGGAGAGUCAAAAAAGCUCACCUUUUGAAAUUUUCAUCUGCGCCCAAAUGCAGUUUGAAAGCAUCCAAUUGCCACACUCUCCAGCAACAGAUUUCUGCGAAGGCUUUGUUAUUUUCUCCUCUUGAGUUAUGGUUCAAAAAAUCUGCCUUAACAACAUAAUCUGCUUGGGAAUAUAUGUAAUAAAAUACCAAUGUGGCUGUUAAGGUGAUAUGAAGGUUACUGUUCUAAUCACUCGAAAUGCAGUCGGGAGCAAAGUUACGAAUCUCACAGUAAUCUGGCCACGUUACAUCCCCCGUACAUCUUGCGAAACGCCCUUAACAUAAAGAGCGAUGCAUUCAGGCACAUAAAUUUAAAGGCAGACUAAUAGAAAAUACUAUUUGCGAGCUUAAGCGCGGCAUAUUGAGCGCCUGCGUCAGAUCGUCCUGUAGCCUUUGUAAACCCACCUGCACGUUACGGUUUUUCUGCCGGAGGAGAGGAGGCUCUCCCCGGGGUUGUGGUGCCGGUUGUGCCGCUCCGGCUGGCUCCCGGCAGCGAUGGAGAUCCCCCUCCCCGCCUGGCCGAGAGACUUUCCGUGCUGCAAGGAAACGCCGCGCAGGGCCGAGAUGAUAAAAACUUUGCGGCUGCCCCGCGGGCCAAGUAUGCUCAGAGGAUCGCGAGGCACACCCCUGCCACGGCACUGGCACAGGAGGUGUUACCGUGGAAAUCUCAGCGGUGGAAGUAUUGGGAUCUCCCUGCUGUCAUUUUUAUGCUGGAUCAGUCAGAGCAAAUGCUGUUAUAAAACCGCCUGCGAGCGCCCUGCAGAAAUAUCAACUCCAUCCUCGCAUUAGCAGCUGUGGGACUGAGUGCAGUGCUGUUUUCCACCAUUGGCAAGGCCAGAGAAAGGAGGAAGACAACAGGAAGGGGUGAGGAGUGUUUUGGGUUGGUUUUUUUUUUCUCCACCAAAUGCAGUUUUAUUCCUGUGUUAAAAAUUUAUGGAGCCC